UUUAAAGAAAGCGUAACAGCUCACUGGUCUAAAUAAGAGGUUCUGCGGCGAAGAUGUAACGGGGCUAAAGUGAUGCACCGAAGCUUAGGGUGUGGCGUAAGCCACGCGGUAGCGGAGCGUUCCGUAAGCCUGUGAAGCGAUCUGGUAAUGGGUCGUGGAGGUAUCGGAAGUGCGAAUGCAGACAUGAGUAGCGAUAAAAAGGGUGAGAUGCCCUUUCGCCGAAAGACCAAGGGUUCCUGCGCAAGGCUAAUCCGCGCAGGGUGAGUCGGCCCCUAAGACGAGCCCGAAGGGGGUAGUCGAUGGGAACACGGUUAAUAUUCCGUGACCUGGUGGUGUGUGACGGAUCUCGUGUGUUGUUCUCCCUUAUUGGAUUGGGAGGGCUUCGAAGAGGUUCCAGGAAAUAGCCUCCACAUUAGACCGUACCCGAAACCGACACAGGUGGACUGGUAGAGUAUACCAAGGCGCUUGAGAGAAGUCUCCUGAAGGAACUCGGCAAAUUGCCUCCGUACCUUCGGAAGAAGGAGGCCCCAACUAAGCGCAAGCUCUGUUGGGGGGCACAGGCCAGGGGGUAGCGACUGUUUAGCAAAAACACAGGGCUCUGCUAAGUCGGCUUCAAGACGACGUAUAGGGCCUGACGCCUGCCCGGUGCCUGAAGGUUAAGUGGAGGGGUGCAAGCUCUGAAAUGAAGCCCAGGUAAACGGCGGCCGUAACAAUAACGGUCCUAAGGUAGCGAAAUUCCUUGUCAGGUAAGUUCUGACCCGCA
Molecule: ribosomal RNA, 763 nt
Filed under: Gloeochaete wittrockiana
Lineage: Eukaryota; Glaucocystophyceae; Gloeochaetales; Gloeochaetaceae
Description: partial Bacterial large subunit ribosomal RNA
Rfam family: Bacterial large subunit ribosomal RNA
Source: RNAcentral